Molecule: ribosomal RNA, 112 nt
Filed under: Caerostris darwini
Lineage: Eukaryota; Metazoa; Arthropoda; Arachnida; Araneae; Araneidae
Source: RNAcentral
AACGGUCAUACCAUGCUGAAUAUACCGGUUCUCGUUAGAUCACCGAAGUCAAGCAUCAUUGGGCGCGGUCAGUACUUGGGUGGGUGACCACCUGGGAACACCGCGUGCCGUU